Molecule: ribosomal RNA, 466 nt
Filed under: uncultured bacterium
Lineage: Bacteria
Description: bacterial SSU rRNA
Rfam family: Bacterial small subunit ribosomal RNA
Source: RNAcentral
UAGGGAAUAUUGGGCAAUGGAGGGAACUCUGACCCAGCCAUGCCGCGUGCAGGAUGAAGGCGUUAUGCGUUGUAAACUGCUUUUAUAUAGGAAGAAAUAGUCCUUGCGAGGAAAGUUGACGGUACUAUAUGAAUAAGCACCGGCUAACUCCGUGCCAGCAGCCGCGGUAAUACGGAGGGUGCAAGCGUUGUCCGGAUUUAUUGGGUUUAAAGGGUGCGUAGGCGGUUUAUUAAGUCAGUGGUGAAAGACGGUCGCUCAACGAUUGCAGUGCCAUUGAUACUGGUAGACUUGGGUAUGAUUGAGGUAGCUGGAAUGGAUAGUGUAGCGGUGAAAUGCAUAGAUAUUAUCCAGAACACCAAUUGCGUAGGCAAGUUACUAAGUCAUAACUGACGCUGAGGCACGAAAGUGUGGGUAUCAAACAGGAUUAGAUACCCCCGUAGUCCCUGAGCGGGCUGGCAAGGCGCAU